Molecule: ribosomal RNA, 251 nt
Filed under: uncultured bacterium
Lineage: Bacteria
Description: partial 16S ribosomal RNA
Rfam family: Bacterial small subunit ribosomal RNA
Source: RNAcentral
UACGGAGGGUGCAAGCGUUAUCCGGAUUCACUGGGUUUAAAGGGUGCGUAGGUGGGUUGGUAAGUCAGUGGUGAAAUCUCCGGGCUUAACCUGGAAACUGCCAUUGAUACUAUCAAUCUUGAAUACCUUGGAGGUGAGCGGAAUAUGUCAUGUAGCGGUGAAAUGCUUAGAUAUGACAUAGAACACCAAUUGCGAAGGCAGCUCACUACACGGUCAUUGACACUGAGGCACGAAAGCGUGGGGAUCAAACA